RNAcentral lists this ribosomal RNA (411 nucleotides) under Leposoma sinepollex. Its description in RNAcentral is "partial small subunit ribosomal RNA". It matches the Rfam family "Bacterial small subunit ribosomal RNA", at positions 777 to 1395 of the family's 1533-position model. The record is from RNAcentral. Lineage: Eukaryota; Metazoa; Chordata; Lepidosauria; Squamata; Gymnophthalmidae.
AUUAGAUACCCCACUAUGCCAUGACGUAAACCAUGACCCCCACGUCCGCCAGAAAAUUACGGGCACCACCCUUUGGCCUAAAACUCAAAAGACUUGACGGUGUCCCAACCUACCUAGAGGAGCCUGUUCCAUAAUCGAUAAUCCCCGAUUAACCCAACCACCCCUUGUACUACUCAGCCUAUAUACCGCCGUCACCAGCUUACCUUCCAAAAGCACUAUCGUAAGCACAAUAGUAUUAUACUAAAAAGUCAGGUCAAGGUGUAGCUUAUGUGGUGGCGCUUAUGGGCUACAUUAUCUGUCCCAGAUAACCCACGGACUAGUUACUGAAAUAUAACUACAAAGGAGGAUUUAGCAGUAAGGCACGCAAGUACACCUACUUUAACCCUGCUCUGGGACAUGUACACACCGCCC